This 28-nucleotide non-coding RNA is filed under the name Bombyx mori (domestic silkworm). Lineage: Eukaryota; Metazoa; Arthropoda; Insecta; Lepidoptera; Bombycidae. The record is from RNAcentral.
UCGUUCGAGUGUUGCCACACGUGGUGGU